GAUGAACGCUGGCGGCGUGCCUAAUACAUGCAAGUCGAACGCGCAGCGAAAGGUGCUUGCACCUUUCAAGCGAGUGGCGAACGGGUGAGUAACACGUGGAUAACCUGCCUCAAGGCUGGGGAUAACAUUUGGAAACAGAUGCUAAUACCGAAUAAAACUUAGUAUCGCAUGAUACAAAGUUAAAAGGCGCUACGGCGUCACCUAGAGAUGGAUCCGCGGUGCAUUAGUUAGUUGGUGGGGUAAAGGCUUACCAAGACGAUGAUGCAUAGCCGAGUGGAGGGACAGAUCGGCCAGAUUGGGACUGAGAACCGGCCCAAACUCCGACGGGAGGCUGCAGUAGGGAAUCUUCCACGAUGGGCGCGAGCCUGAUGGAGCAACGCCGCGUGUGUGAUGAAGGCUUUCGGGUCGUAAAGCACUGUUGUAUGGGAAGAAAUGCUAAAAUAGGGAAUGAUUUUAGUUUGACGGUACCAUACCAGAAAGGGACGGCUAAAUACGUGCCAGCCGCCGCGGUAA
This 513-nucleotide ribosomal RNA is filed under the name uncultured bacterium. RNAcentral's name for it is "partial 16S ribosomal RNA". It matches the Rfam family "Bacterial small subunit ribosomal RNA", at positions 28 to 523 of the family's 1533-position model. The record is from RNAcentral.